GUUUGCAGCUUCCCACCUGCAUACAGCACACCAGGAGACAGAAAUAAGGCAUUCUGUGCAGAGCUAAUCAUAAUCAAUUCAGUUCUUGAAUGGAUCAUCAGAUAUAAGCCAAGUGCUCCCUUUCCACUGCUUCAUAUACUGCUAUUUCCUUUCAGGAAGAUACCACCAAUUUCCUCCUUCAGAUCCCUCCAACUCUUCAUAAAUGAGGAAAAAGCCACUACCAUUGAACCACAGGACUUGAACUGAAGAUUUAGUUCUCCAGACAAAUCGCUAAACUUCUUUCCACCUCAGCUCCUGACCACUAUUUUGAGAUGGGGU
This 318-nucleotide long non-coding RNA is filed under the name Chrysolophus pictus (golden pheasant). Its description in RNAcentral is "lncRNA (ENSCPIG00010002226.1)". Lineage: Eukaryota; Metazoa; Chordata; Aves; Galliformes; Phasianidae. The record is from RNAcentral.